GGAUAUGGAACAAGCAUUAACAGUUAAAAGAAUUGUGGAUUUUUUUGUCUUUUUUCCAGCCAUUGGGUUAGUGUUGCAAAAACGCAAGUAUGUUUCUCUGAUAAUAUGGGUUCUAAUCUAGCUGCAGAGAUAUGUGGUACGCUGGGAUGUCGACAGGUUGAUGACUUGGGAAGGUAUCUCGGAAUGCCGCUUUUUCACAAAAGAGUUUCGUUGGG
This 215-nucleotide long non-coding RNA is filed under the name Gossypium barbadense (sea-island cotton). RNAcentral's name for it is "long non-coding RNA (GBAR_LNC022649)". The record is from RNAcentral. Lineage: Eukaryota; Viridiplantae; Streptophyta; Magnoliopsida; Malvales; Malvaceae.